CGAGAGCUGAAACACUGAGGCAGAACUCUGGCUUGUGCGACCUCAGAAGAAACAUGCAUUUCCAGUGACUUGACUUUCUCACCACUCUGUAGCUGUCUGAAGAUGAUUUUGAAAGCACUGCAUUGAUUUAGAGGAGGAGCAGCCCCAGCCCAGGAGCUGAGAGGAACGGACCAAGAGACGGGGAAUGGACUGCUGCUGCAGAGAGUUGAAGGCAGAUCUGCAGAGAACUGCAGAUGGCAGCCUUCUGCUGAACUGCAUCAAUUACAUGUGGCAAGGACCCUUCUCCUCAUCUCCAGAGCUUGUGCUUGAACCGCUGCAACUUGAGAGUCCAAUCAAUUCACAGUUAUCGAUCACCUUGUAUCUAGCCGCCGCGAACCAAGGUUGAACGGUGAGAGGAAGAAAGAGUGAAAUCCCAGACUUCUGCCUUUCCUUCCCUCUCUCUUGGAAACAUCACGCUUUGCCCUCACAGGCAGGCUGAGGAGGAGUGCUGCAGCUGCAGUUUCAGUGGAGCCCCUGGUGUCAGGGUCAUUGCCGAUUCCUGAGGCUGCCCCAGCGAGCCUCACCCUUCAGAACACGGUGAGGUCAAUUUUGUAGCACACGGGGAAAUAAAAUUCAUUCCUGAGGGUCAUUCCCAAAUCAAAAAUUUAAUUAAUUUCUUCUCAUAAACUUUUGUUCUUAUUUUGAUCCCGCAUGAGAGAUUUCUGAGAAAAUAGCUCAGCUUUUCCCAACGCAAAGGUAUGCACCUUGGCCAUUCCCUCGGACCCCGUCGACGGUGGUUAAAUAAAUCACUUGUUGCUAAACAGCAAUUCAUUCCCCUGACAUCUACAUGGCCCUCUUGGUUUAUUUUAAAAUAUAUCAACUAACUUGCCACCACUGCCGUGGCUUUUAAUGUGUCUGACACAUCCAAUUUCAAUAGCUCCAUGAAAAUGUCACGCCAUAAAAUAGAGACAGGAAGACAACAGGGAAGGCACCGAGAGUUAGUGUGUCGGCGCAUCCUUGGAAAAUAAGGGACAAAAACACUCAUCCAGGUGGGGUUCAGGAAAGGGCAUUUCUCCCAGAAGUUCAGGAAAUUAAUUAGGUUAUGUGGGACUAGCUCUUUAUAUGUAUUCCUUUUGAAAACAUUAAUUCUCCAUGCUUGUUAUUUUUGCUUAUGGAACUUAUAGGCUUUCCUAGGGUCUCUUUCACAUAAAGUAACACCUGUCUGAUGAGUGUCUUCAAUCUUUCAUUUCCAGGGAAAUAUUUACCGUUGAAUGUAGUCAUGUUAUUUAGUAAAGGGAAGAGUUCUAGAAUGUUAGACGUGUGCUCUCUUUCUAUUUGUUCCACACACAGUAAUUUCAUGUUAUACUAAACGAGACAUUGCGCUAGUCACCUGGCCUCGGUGGGUCGGCAGUCCCAUGAGAAUGAUCUUUGUCUAUGCAGGCAAAGGUGGGAGGAGGUGGUUAUGUCUUAGCUCUGGUACAAAUGUGUCGUAACUAAGGCAAUUGAGAUUCCUAAUCUGUAAAACUGGAAAGAUAUUAAAUACGACUUACUGUAAUGGUUUGGCUAUGAGGUGUUCCCCAAAAGCUCCUGUGUUAAUUCAGGGAUAUUCAGAGAUGAAAUGAUCAGAUUAUGGAGCUUUAACCUAAUCAGUCCAUCCCAGUUUGAAUGGACAGAGUGGGUGGUAAUUGGAAGCAGAUGGGGUGUGGCUGGAGGAGAUGGAUCACUGGGCUCAUGUCCUGGAGGAUGCAUUUGCCCUGCAGUCCCUUCCCCUCCCUCUCUCUCUGCUUUCCAGCUACCAUGUCCUGAACUAUUUUCCUCUGCCAUGCUCUCGGCCAUGUUGUUCUGUCUCAACUCAGGCCCAGAGCAAUGGGGUCAGCUGACCAGGGACUGAACCCCAGAAAUCAUGAGCUCGAAUUAAAUUUUCCUCCUCUAAGUUGCCAGCUAUUUCGGUCACAGCAAUGAAAACCUGACUGAUACACCUACUUCAGGGUUACUGGUGUGAUUAAUAGCAAUAGUAAAGCCCUGUAAAACUCAAUGUUUGGUUCUUGACUAAACUCAAGGCACACUGUGAUUAUUGACUCUCCAUCUAUAUUGUUCUAGAAGCUGAUUCAGGUGCCUAAUAUCUACCAUUCACUGCUGAUGUCUUUACAGUGAGACAAUCUGGCAUUGAAAAUAAGGUGUCAGGAAAUCACGUGAUGCUUUCGUUUUUUGCCUCAGUGGUUACCAGGUCUACCAUCUUAUUCCUCUGGUGCCUUGCAGAUUCCUCAAGCCCAACAGGUCACAAAUAUACCCACUCUCGUGAAUUUUCUCUCGUUGAUGAUGGACAUUUACUUUCUUUCCCAAAUUAGAACUUUGAUAUAAUCCUCAACCCUCUCCUUCCCUGACCUAUUACUGGUCUAAAAUUCUAAACCUCUACCUCCUCGUGUCUCCCAGAUCUGUCCACAUUUCCCCAUCAGGUCACUACUGCUCUGGUAUGGGUCCUCUGUUCUCUUUAGAGCAACCUCCAACCUCGCUGCCUCCCUAUGAGCCUUUUAUUCCUCAAGCUGCUUCAAGUCGAAUCCCCGAAGUCAAACAUGAUCAUGUUCUGCUUCCCAUAGAAAAGCUGCUGCUGGCUCCCCACUGCUCCCUAGGAUAAUAAUCUAAACAAUUUAAAGCUCAGUUCUCACGACUUUCCCAUAACACACCAGCCACAUUUGCCCUUGGUCAUUCCAUGAAGAAUGCUUCUUUCUCCCUCUGUCUUAGUGGCUGUUUUCACUCUUCAUGUGACUUCAAUGUCCCCCUCCUUUGCCUUGACAGCUUCUAAAUUCUCAUUCAACUGAUCCAAUGUCACCUCCUCCAUGCACCCGCUCAGCAUUCUGGACAUAGCUGCCACUUCCUUUGAGCUCCUUGGCACCUUCCAUACUUUGACUGGAGUGUUUACUACAUGGUAUUGAAAUACUAUUGUUGGUUUGUGUUACCCUUGAAAUGUGAGCUCCCUAGAGUAGGGGUUAUAUUUUAUGACCUUUUUAUCUCCAGUGCCUGGGAUCAGAUGGAAUCUGAACCUGACAGACUUUUGACAGUAACGGUAGGAGAAGGGUGCUGUUGCUCUGUUGCUUCCUUUCCCUCAAGCAUUUAUCCUGGAUGUUCCUGUACUAAGAGCCUCCUAGCUGUCCUCCUGCCUCUACCUUACUUCAAGUAUUAAAUUAUACUGUGGUUGUCUUGGUCUACUUGUGCUGCCAUAACUAACGGCCACGGACUGGGCUGACUUAAACAGCAGAAAUUUAUUUCUCACAUUUCUGGAGUCUGUAAGUCUAAGAUUAGGGGGCAGCAUGGCUAGAUUCCAGGGGGAGCUCUGUUCUAGGUUAUACCUGGCUACCUUCUCUUUUAGCGCCCUAUGGAGGAGAGACUGCAGAGAAUGAUGGGAAGGGUCCCUUUUAUAAGGAAACUAAAUUCCAUUCAUGAGGGCUCCACCCUCAUGACCUAAUUACAUUUCAACUACCCCCCGCUGCUGAGGUGGGUGCACUGUCAUGCACCUGUAAUACCAACCACUGAGACAGGAGACUCUCUUGAGACCAGGAGCUCAGUGUCAGCCUGGGCAACAUAGACAGACCCCUACUUUGAAAAUUUAAAAGACCCCACAUUCUACUAUACCAUUAUAUUAGUGGUUAAGAUUUCAAUAUAUGAACUCGGAUAAGUGGGGUACAAACAGUGGGGUACAAACAUUCUGUCCAUAAACUGCUACAGUCUCACUCCUCCUUAAACAUUAUUUGUCCUUCAGUGGACAGGAUGUGGGCCAAGUAUGGAUGCAGAAGCAUAUGGCCUCAAUUCAGGUCUCUACCUACCUGUUGGGGAACUUUUGGCAAAUUGCUCAAUCACCUUGUGCCUUGGUUUUUGCAUCUUAGAUCUAGGGACAAAUAUAUACUUAUUUCACAGGGCUGUAUGAGGAUUAAUAAGUUGAAUCCUAUACAGUAUUUAGAAGAGAGUCUGACCCUUAGUGCGUGCUCUGGGGUGUUAGCUGCUACUAGCCUUGCUCAGAUGCGAAUUCCUCACCUGUGAACUUCUCUCCUCUCAGCUCUUUCCUCUGGAUUCCACAGCCUGCUCUUACCACACGUACCUCCUGACUAAAGAACAUUAAAUAGCUUACCACCUGGCUUCAUGUUUGUCCAUGAAUCCAUCUCUCUUGGUAGCUGUUAAGUUCCUUUAAGACAUUCCAUAUUUUUUUUAUUUUUAAUUUUGGAAUGCUGGGGAUUGAAACUGGGGCCUUGUGCAUACUAAGCAAGCACUCUACCACUGAGCCACAU
Ictidomys tridecemlineatus (thirteen-lined ground squirrel) is the source of this 4259-nucleotide non-coding RNA. NCBI's taxonomy places the organism in Eukaryota, Metazoa, Chordata, Mammalia, Rodentia, Sciuridae. The record is from RefSeq and is a predicted model, not a curated record.